GUGAUAACCGCUGAAAGCAUCUAAGCGGGAAGCACGUUUCAAGAUGAGGUUUCCAGGCCCGCGAGGGCGAGAGGCUCCCAGCUAGACCACUGGGUUGAUAGGCCGGACGUGGAAGCACAGUAAUGUGUGGAGCUGACCGGUACUAAUAAGCCGAUAACUUGACUAA
This 166-nucleotide ribosomal RNA is filed under the name Tomitella sp. RNAcentral describes it as "partial 23S ribosomal RNA". It matches the Rfam family "Bacterial large subunit ribosomal RNA", at positions 2759 to 2925 of the family's 2925-position model. Lineage: Bacteria; Bacillati; Actinomycetota; Actinomycetes; Mycobacteriales. The record is from RNAcentral.